This is a non-coding RNA of Chrysemys picta bellii (western painted turtle), 2198 nucleotides long. NCBI's taxonomy places the organism in Eukaryota, Metazoa, Chordata, Testudines, Emydidae. The record is from RefSeq and is a predicted model, not a curated record.
CGCUCCGGUCCCUGGAGGCUGCAGCUGCCCACGUGCCAAGUGCUCUGCUAAAUGCAGCUUCUGCGCAUGCGGGGCUCUGCCCCCCCUCGAUCUGCGCAUGCCCAGAGCAGGGAAACACGGCGGGCCGGGGGUUCCAUCUGUCCGUGCCCCAGCCUCUGUGGGCGGGACAGAGACAAGCGCUCAAGCGGCACAAAUCCCUUCUCCGGCUCCGGGAGAGGCUCCAACGGCCCCGCACGAGCCAGGCAGAGCCGCAGCGUCCCGGACGCGUUCGCAGCCCGGCUCGUCCUCCCCCCAGCCCAACGUCACUUCCGCUCCCGGGGGAGUCAGGAACUACAUCUCCCAGCCUGCCCCAGGGGCGCUUCCGCCCUCUGCAGCCGAGAUGAAGGGUUGCCCAGUGUCUGCCUGGAGAAUCUCAUCAUGGCCUGUAUCCACUACUCUUAUGAACUGGCGAAGGUGCCCCUGCCCACUAGCAUGAUGGGUCAUUCCACUAGGGCGCCGGCAUCAUCAUCAGCCUUCUUGGUGCAGGUGCCGAUCCUAAAAAUCUGUCUGGCUACAACCUGGGUUUCCAGUUUCCAAACCUAAUGUGAUCUCGCAGCUGGAACGAGGGGAAGAACCGUGGGUCCCAGACCUCCAGGGCUCUGAGAAAGAAGUGCUCCCGAGAACUGCCUGCACAAGCAGUGACCUAUGUCUGGAUUCUCUCUGUCUCCCAUCAGGUGUUGGGAUGGUGGGUGAGAAUGAGGAGGAGAAACCCCAGCAGGAAGAUGCUGAGCAAGUAGAACCACAUGGAACAUUAUCAGGAAGAUCCAAAGGGAAUGUUUCCGGGAUUUGUGGACUCCCAGAAAAAUCAAAAGCCUGUGAGACUCAGCAGAGGCCAGAGGAAAACUUCAGUAGCCACUCAGACCUUAUUACACAUGAGAGAAUCAACUUGGAAGAGACACGCUACACAUGCCAUGAGUGUGGGAAAAGCUUCAAUGGGAGCUCUCACCUUCUCAGACAUCAGGGAAUCCACAGAGGAGAGAGACCCUACACAUGUUCUGAGUGCGGUAAUAGUUUCAAUCAGAACUAUACCCUCAUCAGACAUUGGAGAAUCCACACUGGAGAGAAACCCUACACGUGCUCUGAGUGUGGGAAAAGCUUCAAUCAGAGCUCAAACCUUAUCAGACAUAGGAAAAUCCACACAGGUGAGAAACCUUAUGAAUGCUCUGAGUGUGGGAAACACUUCAUUCAUAGUUCAGCCCUCAUCUCACAUCAGAAAAUCCACACAGGAGAGACACCCUACAUAUGCUCUGAGUGUGGGAAAAGCUUCAAUAAUAGCUCUGACCUGAUCACACAUCGUAGAAUCCACACAGGAGAGAAACCAUACACGUGCUCUGAGUGCGGGAAAAGCUUCAAUCAGAGCUCAAUCCUUACUAGACAUCAGAAAAUUCACAUGAGAGAGAACUGUAAUAAAUGCCUUGACUAGAGCUGGCCAAAGAUUUUUCUUUAAAAAAAAUCACAUUUGCUGAUUCCCACAGAGCGAUCUUUGUACCAUCUUCACUGUGGUCUCUCAGCUCCCCCAGAUGAGUUGCCUGCUUCUGCCUUUUUCAGCUCAACCUCCUUUGGGGUCAGUCCUGUGAUCUAUUCUAUCAAUACCUUUCCGUUCGAGUCAAAGGAGUGUGUGUCCCUCCAGCCAGGAAUGUUCAUCAGCUCCAGGUGGGAGAGAGAGAUUUGAUCCCAACAAGCUACACUGAGGCAAAAAUUACCUCUGCCUUACAUCCACUAGGACUGUACAUGGCGUUGGCUGCUCAAGUUAGUGAUCUUGAUGUAAAAAGACAAUUAUAGUUGUAGUGCAGAUGCAGCCCAGAUGUGUAAGAGGCUGAUUCUGUGAUAACUUUCAGUUUUACAAUAUGAUUCAGGUUUUCUUCUAGUUCUCUCCCUGCCCCCUCCUACUGUAUCAGAAAUGGUGGCUAAUCCUGAAAUUAAAACCUCACUCCAAAGGAAUUAGAGUGGGGGAAUAUGUGAGAGAAGUAGCAUGUAAGAGAAUAGAGACCCAGUACGAACUGUAAUUAUUUCUAUUUCUGUUAAGAGAAAAAUUACUUGAGACAAGAUGUGUAACCUUUUACCCAUCCCCUAAACUGCUGAUGUGUUUUUGUUUGUUUGUUUAAACAGUCUCUCCUCCAGUGGUUGCUUUUUAAUAAAAGAAUAGUUUUGGUUUGAAA